RNAcentral lists this ribosomal RNA (492 nucleotides) under uncultured bacterium. RNAcentral describes it as "partial 16S ribosomal RNA". It matches the Rfam family "Bacterial small subunit ribosomal RNA", at positions 29 to 507 of the family's 1533-position model. The record is from RNAcentral.
AGCGAACGCUGGCGGUAGGCCUAACACAUGCAAGUCGAACGGCAGCACAGUAAGAGCUUGCUCUUACGGGUGGCGAGUGGCGGACGGGUGAGGAAUACAUCGGAAUCUACUUUUUCGUGGGGGAUAACGUAGGGAAACUUACGCUAAUACCGCAUACGACCUACGGGUGAAAGCAGGGGAUCUUCGGACCUUGCGCGAUUGAAUGAGCCGAUGUCGGAUUAGCUAGUUGGCGGGGUAAAGGCCCAGCAAGGCGACGAUCCGUAGCUGGUCUGAGAGGAUGAUCAGCCACACUGGAACUGAGACACGGUCCAGGCUCCUACGGGAGGCAGCAGUGGGGAAUAUUGGACAAUGGGCGCAAGCCUGAUCCAGCCAUACCGCGUGGGUGAAGAAGGCCUUCGGGUUGUAAAGCCCUUUUGUUGGGAAAGAAAAGCAGCAGGUUAAUACCCCGCUGUUCUGACGGUACCCAAAGAAUAAGCACCGGCUAACUUCGUG